Non-coding RNA from Aegilops tauschii subsp. strangulata, 7744 nucleotides. The record is from RefSeq and is a predicted model, not a curated record. NCBI's taxonomy places the organism in Eukaryota, Viridiplantae, Streptophyta, Magnoliopsida, Poales, Poaceae.
GCGCUGGUCAGCCCCCGUGCGCAUAGCCUUUUGGAAGGAGAGGAAUAAGAGGCACAACCCUAGCCCUUCCUCGCCGCCAUCUAUCGCUCCCCCGUUCAUCCUCUCUAGCCGCCGCCGCCGCCACCGCCACCCCAAUCUCUCCUCCUGACGCACCCUCUCCUCGCCACCGUCGUCGCAAGUGCCCACGCUGGUGGAUUAGGUGGUUAGAGCGGGAUGUGACAACGCAUCUGGCCGGAGGAGAACGUGGGAGCGGCAUCUCCUAGCGACGGCGCUGGGGCAGGCGAUGCUUCAAGGCGACGGGCUGAGGCGGCGGUGCAGGGAUCCGCUCGGUCUGCUGUUGCUGCUGCGGGCGGACGGGGGAGCGGGUCGAGGUGGCAGCUCCGUCGGUGAUGCCUAGGAACCUCUCCACCAACUUCUUUCAGGGGGAGAUCCUGAAUGGCAGCAUCCUCGGACCUUCGAAAGCAGCUGUAAGCUUAACUCUGACCUAAUCUCAUUCCACUUUAUGUGUCCUUUAUGAUGUCAGAACAUGUUAUAAAUAUAAUGAGUGGUAUCUAUUAACUUGUACCACAAGUCCACAACUGUACUGGAUCAGACUGCUCUGGUGCAUUUCAAAUGAUGCAGGCAUGUCGAAAAUCUGGAGCUUUGCAGGCUGCCCAUCCAGAAGGGUUGCCGUGGAACCCUCGGGUUCUCUGCAGUGCUGCCGCAGAGAAUGAUCUUAUGCCAGAUGGAUUGUUCAGAUAUUUGAUGGUUAUACUGAUAGGAACAGUCGGCUUUUUUUGUUUUCUAAAAAGACAGGAACAGUAUCCAGUAUGAUUGACUUCUUAUGUAACAGCUUCAUUGAGGAGCUCAAAGGUGCUGACUGACUGUUCUUAGGCCAAUAGUUUCAAUUGUUGUUAUAGCAUUUCUAUCGUUCUUCACAGGUUGCGAAAUCAAGCGUGCUAGCGGUGGCGAGCGAUUUGAGCGCCAAUGGCUCAACAGCUGAUUAUCAAUCAAGUUUGUGUAUUUUAUUUUCACCGGCAAUGCUGCAUCCUUUUGAGUUGCAAUGGUUGUAUGGUUCAGAUAGACAAUUUAUCAUUUUUCUUUUCUUGACCAAGUUUAUGCUUUUAUUGAUCAACAAUUAUUUUGAACCACAAACCUAUUACUCUUUGGAGUGGCCAAAUGUGUAUCUUUGAAUCUCCAAGUGCCACCGGGGUGCUAUAUAUAUUUCAUUGGUUCAUGGAUCAUUAGGAGGCAAAUAAUGGUAGAAAUAAUUAGCUUGCAAGUUCUGUAUUGCCAGAGGAGUCAUAAUUCGUUUAGGGAAGUAAAACCAUGCAUGAUAAUCAGGGGGAACAUGCAACAUACGUAGCCGAGGGCUUCUCUGUAGGUAAUCAAGGGAUCCUAAUUCAGCAUUGCUCCUCCAUGUUAGAAUUAAUCAUUAUUGAGGAAAUCGUUAACUGGUAGCUGCUCGGUUGGGUGGCGAGUGGAGGAUUAAUAGGCUAAUACAAAUUAAUCGGCCAUUUAAUCAAUUAAUUGGAUGAUUUAUCAGUUUACUUCCGGUGACCUUAUGAGUAGGGAUUAAUCGGCAAGGUAAUUGGUUAAUCGGACAAAUUCUUGAACAGGGGAAUUAAUCAUUGGGAACUUUCGAUAGAGGUGAUUUUGUUUAGAUAAUUAGUUUAGGCAGUAACAUUUUGAUUGAUAAGGCAUAUGUUUAUUUGCUUUUUCAUUCAGGGAUACACUUAAGUAACCAUCACCAUCAGUAAAAAGAAGGCAUACAAAACAUGAAGUUUUUGCCUUUGUUGUAUGCCUCAUUAGCUGUCGCUUAUUUAUUUCAAGUUAUUAGUCGAGCUUCUUUAUGCUUCCCAUUUCUAAAUAAAAAGUUAAUACAAUAUUAUUGAUGUGUGAGGAGGUGAGAGAAGAAGAAAAGAGGGUCAUCAGUUUUGCUUGAUGCUGACAUGGUCAAGCUAGAGCAAGUUGUCUGAAGCAUCAAGAUGGAGGGCCUUCUUUGGGGUUCUUCUGUGUUGCUGAUACAUGUUUUUUUCUGUCUGCAUAAUUACUGUGUUUUGUAAGGUUGAGGGUUUUCCGACCCUUGCAGCCAAGCUCGCGCCAGUUUGAUAUGGCAUCAAGAAGCUGGUAUAGAUGCUAUGUUAUGAUGUCCAUUCUCCAGGAAGUCACACCACCCUAGGACUCUGCCGCAGAGGAACACUGAAUGCCUCCUGUGAGCACGGACUGCAGAGACAACGAGGACCUCAAGCUUUGUUGGCCACUCUGCAUAGCAAAGUUAUGCCUCUCAAGGUGUGAUGGAUCCAAGAGCGUGUAAGGAGCUUUUCCCCGCUACACCGGCAACAGGCACGCGAGCUUUCCGAUCCACGACAACACCGGUCAACAAGUGGAAUGAUUAGAUGCAGGCUACUAGGAACUCAAAGAAGAAGGGCAUUUUGAACAAAGGAACCUUUAUUGAUCUGUAUGUUCUACUUUUAACUUUCUACUGAAAAUAAAGCUAGGCUACUCAUGAUUUUUUUAGGCAUUUCUAACUUGGCAUAGCAGCACGUGUAGGUGCUUACAAAUUGUCACGUGCAUGCCAUGCUAGAGCUCUCUUGCGUAUUGCAGGGAGCUGGCCACAGCUCAUGUUUAAUUUGUUGCCCUUUCAUCAGUAAGGUUUUUAGUGUAUAGUACUUCUUUAGACUACUUAUUUGGUCUUCACUAAUUAAUGAAGGAGCCCAUCCUGGCUCGAAUCUUUAAUUUUCCAAAAGCUAUGAUAAUUAAUGCCAAGUUAUUUCUCUUACUUUUGUCAAAGAAUAAAAUGUAGUACGUAGUUGUCAAAAUGGAUUUUCGUUGUUUCUUGAACUUUUUACUUCUGUAAAGUACUACUAAUUGGGUAAUACCAGACAAAUUUCUGUGGUGGCAUUUGAUUCCAUUAGUGUAAAGAUGGAACUUACAUGAAUUUCCUGAUAUGGUCAUAAAAUCCUGGUGGAGUGCCCCGUUCAGCUUGAGGUAAUAAAAUUCUGGUGAGAGCCCCAUCAAAUAAGAUAAUUUUUUCCAGUGGUUCUCUUGAUAGAACAUUUCGAACAAAUCCAUGAGUAUUUUGUAGCUAUAUACAUACCAUGUCCUUUGUUUCAUAUUAGUUCACGAAUAGGUCAUUGACAUGAAUAAUUAUUCUCCAAAACAACUAUUUAGUGGUGUGCUAAGAUACUAUUGCUAUUUAAGUGUUGUUAAGCAAAUUAUCUCUGACGCCUGUACUUUUCAGCCAUGUGAACGAACAAAUUAAUUAAGAUCAAGCAUUCUCUUGUUUUUUUAAUAUGGAGCUUUUAGCACCUCUUCACCGAUCAAUUGGGAUCAUUUUUUAUAGCAUGCAGUCAAAUCUUUGUUCCUCAUUGUAUAUUUUUUCAUAGUCUAUUAAAAAAACUGGAAAAUUGAAGAACUGGUAAUCCUUUUGGUAUUCUCAUAUUUUUUUGGUCCACAUUAGGAAAUGUAAAUUCAGUUAUGCUUUCAUCUACAAAUUUUGGGAGGUCAAAAUAGUUACCUUGCUCUCUCUCUCUCUCUCUCUCUCUCUCCGUCCCUCCCUCCCUUGGGCUAUGUGUGGAUUUGGAAAGGUUGUAUUGCGCUGAACACUUGUGUGAUCUGAUAAAUACACGUGCUCUGAACUGUAAUCAGUCGAAAUUUUUAGAUCAAUUUUAUAUUUUAUUUGUACUAGCAAGUGAAUUAUCAACCGAAUUAUAUGGUGAUCAGACUGAUCCAGAUACUAAUGAAAUUCAAAUGGUGGCUGCAGGAUAAAAGGAGCAAGGAUCAAUGAUCCCAUACAGGUUAAUGAUGAUGAAGACCAACACUUUGUAUCACUGAUUAUUUAGAGAGCCGCAAACGUGCCAGGAAACCCAAAGGUCCAACUAGGAAUGCAAAAAAUAUAUAGACUAAGAGGACCGUUACACAAGGGUCAUGCAUACAUACAGUACAGGGAACACUUGGAACUCCAAUGCAAGUAUCCAAGUGAAUUUGACAUCUCUCCAGAUGAGAUCUGUCUUCUUAAGCGACUGGUUCAUUCGAGGGUACCUGCCAUUAAGGUCUAUGUCUGUAAGAUGAACAACACAUGUAGUACAGGAUAAAGAAUGUACUUCUCUGCUCCAUACACUAGGAUCUUUCUCAAGCUUAACCCAAUCGUUGAGAACAUGUGAAUCAUAACCCCAUGUGGAUGUUUACAGGAACAACUUUGUUUAAUAUAAGGUUAAGAUAAAAGAGUGGCUAUCAACACAAACUGGACGCAAUUCGUCAAAGCAGCCAGAAUCAAGAAAAAGGGAUGUAUUCGUCUGUCUUUGAAGAGACUCGGGUCGUCAGCUGUCACUCACCGUCCAUAACCUUUCAUAAGGUGAGCUCGCUGAUUGCCAAGCGACGGUGACGGUGAUUUUUCAACAGGUCAUAUGACAUUGCGUCGAUCACUCAGGAAAAAGAUCCCAUCCAGCACACAUCAAGGCAUGCCCCAUACGUCUUAUAUUGUUGUGUACAUAGUUUGUUCCUAUGCUUUACAUAAAAAGCAUUGUAAAUAAGUUAUCAUGUAAUGCGAUCUUGCGUUCCUUUUGGUAUGCUAUCAUGAACCAAUGCAUUUUUGGCUUCCAUCAUGUAAACCUAUCAAGCACAAAAGGUGUCCUAUCGUGUAUCCUGCUUUAAGUUGUUUUAAUAUGGGCGGAACUUGAAUUGUUGCUUGCUGUGUUAUGAUUUGAGUGUGUUACUACACUUUUCAUCUGGAUUUCUAUACCCCUUUGGUCAACGGCCCAUCAUAACUGAGACACAUCAUAGUUGUCUAAAUAUUCUUGGGUCAGCUCAUAGUUGUAUUAGGCUAUGUUAUAUUUUAUAUGCAAUUCUCCAGUGGCUUUAUUACCGAGUUGGAUAAGCUGCACCCGGUAGGGGUGCAGCAAGCUGCACUUAUGUGCCUCUCAUCCUAUUAUACUAUAGCAAAUGGGGUUUACAGUGUAGUGCUUAUUGUUUCAUUACAUUUGAUUAUCCUUCAAUUACCACAUCAUACUCGGUCCUCAUAGGCUUCUCGCACCAUGUGUGUAAUAGGUCAUAUACCAUAAAAUUCAAUGAUAUGGAAGGCAUUUAUGCUUUCACUAACAACAUUCACCAAACACACCCAUCAUGAAGAUUUGCUUAAACAAUUAAAUCAUGUUUGAUAUUGAUAGGACAUGUGACCCUACCGUCUUCAUGUCGUUGUCUUUCCUGCUGGCAGAAGAUACAAGAAUCAGCCAAAGGUUAUGAGACAAGAGCUAUAUAUCUAUGAGCAUAUUUGCUAAUAUAACUUGCUUUAUAAAACCAAUGUAAGCUAUCAAGUGAUACCCAUGGUUUGAAUGCUCGCUUGCUCUCGGUUUUUGCGCCAUUGGCGCAACGGGUCAUCUAGUUGAACAUAUAAACCUUCAAGAAGUCAUAGGCAGAACCAAGGCCUCCACGUCGCCCCUAAUUCGCUAUAAACAGUAUUGCUGCCACCGCGUGUAAAUUUUGUGCCCCGCCGAGGGCAUUUUGGUCUUUUUACGUGCAGGGUAUAAAUUGCCAAUCCCGUGGAGAAACCCUCGCCGCCGCCUCCCGUCCCACUCGCCUCCCCCUCCUCGUCGCCCUCCUCUCUCUCUCUCUCUCGCUAACCCCUCUCUUUCCCCAUCGCCCUACCCACGCCGGCCGGUUCCGGCAAGCUCCGCCCGCCGCACGCCCCCGAGCUCCCCAAGAUCUGUGCCACUGCGCCGCCGCCUCCUCCCCUCCACUUCUCUCCUCCUCUGCCCCCCACGCAUGGUCGCCGUCACUCGUCUCUGUAGGAGAGAGAGGAUGAGAGGAAGAGAGAGAAGGAAGGAGAGGAGGGAGAAAGAGAGAGGAAAGAGGAGAUGGAGGUGUGUGGGCUGAUGGGAGAAGGUCUCACGCCGGCGUCGGCCUACGUCUGCGAGGUCGGGCGAGAUCUGGCGGUUGGCGGCGGCUCGAUCCGCUCCUGGAUCGGGAGCUGCGAGGAGGCUGGGGCUCUUGGGCGUGCCAUGCGCUGGGGGCUGGAGGAGGCUGGUUUGGUGGUUGCUCAGGUUUGGAGCAGCAAGGAUAUGGGCUGCAUUUUCUUGGAGCAGCAAGCAAUGGAGCCAAGGUGAAUAAGCAACAUAUACUCGAUCGCACUGCUCAAACCAUACAUGCUUGGAAAAAAUUAAUGUGUUCUUAAGAUCUCUAUAGGAUUAAAUGUAUUUGUUUGCAGUACUUUCAUUCUCUGAAAAGAAUGGCGAAUCCAAGAUUUAGCUCCAAAUUAUUGCAUUUUGUUUCAAAAUAGGAUGAUCUUUCCUUGCUGAAUAGACAACAUAUAGGAUAAGAACGUGUAUGAUGCUGAUUUUGGUGGUUUGGACAUGGAUUUGAGGGUGGAGAAUGGCCACAUAAAGGAGGCAUUCAGGACUGUAAGUAUGAAUUAAAUACAUACUACAUAUCUGAUGAAAUGCAGGCACAAGGUGUUCUCGUUAUAGUUGGGUUCCUCAAUCUUUCUAAUGUUUUGUUUUGAUGUUGCAUCGUUUUUUUAUUGCAAGCAUUGAUAUAUGCGCUCAUGCUAGGCAAUAUAAGGUAUUGUCCCAUCAUUUUUUUAUUGUAGGCACUAAAAAAUAAAAGAAAUAAGAGACCACAACAUGUGUUUAACGUACGUUCUUCUCGGUCCUUCUGUGGCUUUAUUUGUCACUUAGGUUGCUGCUUACUAUGAAAAUUAUGUUAACUCACCUGCUUUAUUUCCUUUCAUCAGCAUCUAUUUUGCUGCUUACAUUUUCUGCCUUUUUUCUGCAACGUCCAGGAUCUCCUAGGUUGGUGGAUCUGCGACGUUCCGGUUCCUGCUGUUGGUCAGCCGUUUCUUUGGUCGAGAGAUGGGUUAACUUGUUGCCGGCGGUGUCGUCCCACUGGUAGGGUUCCAGCAAGAUGCUCAAGAAAUUUCUCAUGAAAGUGGAUGAGUAACGUCAUGGCCAGGAUCUUCAAAGGGCCAAUGUUGCAUAGCCUUUACCCACUCUGCACUGCCGUAACAUCUCAAGUAGCGACUACUCCCGGUACAUCUUGUGUUGAUCACGAGCAACACCAAGAGAGAUGUCUGGACUAUUUGCAUGCAGCUUACCUCCAGCAGGCCUUCUCAAGCUGAUGAAAUUGGUUCCUUCCAUUUGUUAGCUGGACAGCUAUAGCUGCACAAUGCAAGGGUGAGACUACCAACCGGUGUAGGACAAGGUAUGCACACGGCGUUGCGGGAAGAGGUAGUCAAAGGAGAUAGAUAUGUAGACGGCACAAUGUAGGCCAAGCGCUAGGGAUGAGGAUAUGGCGUGGCGUGAAGAGCUCGCGGUGAGGAUUGCUGUGUCCAACCUGCCGCCAAGAGGAAAUAGUUUGUGUGGCGCUCGUAAAUAGAGAGUAUUCUGGUCGAAAGCUGAAAGAUUAGUGAGACAGACUAAAUUCUGGACAUGUUCCAUGUGAGAGAAAUAGCAUGUUGAUUUCAUCUUGAAAAUAAUCAUAGCUAAGGGAUGAGGUUCGUAACUGAGGGUCAGAGGAAGAAGUUGCGAGGCUUGAAACUCUCCCUGUGAAGGGCUCAGGGACAGUAGCGAGGACAAUGCCUCUUUAGUUGUAAUUGUGAUACUCCUGAUAUGCAAGUAAACAUUCCUGUGAUACUCCUUAUGCUAAAAUGUUGGUUGUUAGUACAGAGGUGGUGACAUUAUUUGGUUCUCUGGUAUUGAUUUCAUGAUUUAUGGUUAAUACAUGAUGUAAUACAAUCCACAUUGUAUUAUAUUUCCAGUUACAUCUCCUA